CAAAUAUUUAAGACAGUGAUUUUAUGUUUAGAUGCCUUUUUAAUAAAGAGCAUGAAGGGCAGAGUGAAAUAACUACAGACUGCUGCUUUGCCUAAACUUAGAACACCCUCCAAUUGAGAACUAAGUGAAUUCAUCUCUUCCAAUCAUUGCUGUAAAUAUCUACUUUCCUGCCCGUAAACCACUAACAUCCUAUUGUUUUCUAUAAGCCACAAGCAAUACUCUCAAACAAGCUGUCACUCAGAAGCUCUAUUGGAAAAUGAGGCAGACAUUCCUUGAAUUUCUACAAGCACGAUGAGGGCCCAGAGGUAUUACAGCAGAGGGAGCCACAGAAAUAAUAAGAAAUUGAGACAAUGGACAAA
This 359-nucleotide long non-coding RNA is filed under the name Equus caballus (horse). RNAcentral's name for it is "lncRNA (ENSECAG00000045108.1)". Lineage: Eukaryota; Metazoa; Chordata; Mammalia; Perissodactyla; Equidae. The record is from RNAcentral.